UACGUAGGGUGCGAGCGUUAAUCGGAAUUACUGGGCGUAAAGCGUGCGCAGGCGGUUCGCCGUGUCCGAUGUGAAAGCCCCGGGCUUAACCUGGGAAUGGCAUUGGAAACUGGCGGGCUGGAGUAUGGCAGAGGGGGGUGGAAUUCCGCGUGUAGCAGUGAAAUGCGUAGAGAUGCGGAGGAACACCGAUGGCGAAGGCAGCCCCCUGGGCCAAUACUGACGCUCAGGCACGAAAGCGUGGGGAGCAAACAGG
Molecule: ribosomal RNA, 253 nt
Filed under: uncultured bacterium
Lineage: Bacteria
Description: partial 16S ribosomal RNA
Rfam family: Bacterial small subunit ribosomal RNA
Source: RNAcentral